GACGAACGCUGGCGGCGUGCUUAACACAUGCAAGUCGAACGGAAAGGCCCUGCUUUUGUGGGGUGCUCGAGUGGCGAACGGGUGAGUAACACGUGAGUAACCUGCCCUUGACUUUGGGAUAACUUCAGGAAACUGGGGCUAAUACCGGAUAGGAGCUCCUGCUGCAUGGUGGGGGUUGGAAAGUUUCGGCGGUUGGGGAUGGACUCGCGGCUUAUCAGCUUGUUGGUGGGGUAGUGGCUUACCAAGGCUUUGACGGGUAGCCGGCCUGAGAGGGUGACCGGCCACAUUGGGACUGGGAUACGGCCCAGACUCCUACGGGAGGCAGCAGUGGGGAAUAUUGCACAAUGGGCGGAAGCCUGAUGCAGCAACGCCGCGUGCGGGAUGACGGCCUUCGGGUUGUAAACCGCUUUCGCCUGUGACGAAGCGUGAGUGACGGUAAUGGGUAAAGAAGCACCGGCUAACUAC
RNAcentral lists this ribosomal RNA (465 nucleotides) under uncultured bacterium. Its description in RNAcentral is "partial 16S ribosomal RNA". It matches the Rfam family "Bacterial small subunit ribosomal RNA", at positions 28 to 504 of the family's 1533-position model. The record is from RNAcentral.